RNAcentral lists this long non-coding RNA (551 nucleotides) under Sus scrofa (pig). RNAcentral's name for it is "lncRNA (ENSSSCG00060072767.1)". The record is from RNAcentral. Lineage: Eukaryota; Metazoa; Chordata; Mammalia; Artiodactyla; Suidae.
UAAUCCUUGCUCUCAUUUCUUGUAGUUGUCACCUCAGUUGUCACUACUACUGAGCCUCCAAAUGACUGUUUGAACGAUGGAAGCAAAGCCACUGGUAUUGAUUCUGAAAAAGCUUGUAAGAAAGAUCACAGUGAAGUCACUGUUACUGAUUCCAAAAAAGUUUGUCAGAAAGAUGAAAGCAGUCCAGUAUCGGGGGACCUGGAACUCAGCAAAGACCUUACCUGAUCAAGGGCAGUGGCUUAUGAGCAAUCACCUCCUGAUCCUUUCCAUACCAAGUGCUAAUGAUUUUCGAGUUCUGACUCUAUGAAGACGAAGCAUGGAAAAGGGAAGUUUCCAGAACAGACUCAAGUUUUUGAUUCACUAAGAAACUAAGUCAGGUCGACCAUCGUUCUUUGGUAAUUAUUUCUUGACAUCACACGUUUCCUAUAAAAUGUCAAAGCAGAGUAAGUGCAGUUAUCCUAUAACAUCUCGGCCACAAUGAGAGACAUUCAAGACAGACAGGUGACCGAGGCAUGAGCUCCUAAAGAUUCAGGGAAUUUGGAUUAAUCACU